RNAcentral lists this ribosomal RNA (482 nucleotides) under uncultured bacterium. RNAcentral's name for it is "partial 16S ribosomal RNA". It matches the Rfam family "Bacterial small subunit ribosomal RNA", at positions 30 to 507 of the family's 1533-position model. The record is from RNAcentral.
AUUGAACGCUGGCGGCAUGCCUUACACAUGCAAGUCGAACGGUAACGGGCCUUGGGGUGCCGACGAGUGGCGAACGGGUGCGUAAUACAUCGGAACGUACCGGAUCGUGGGGGAUAAUGGGGCGAAAGCUUUGCUAAUAUCCCCUACGAUCUCCUGAUGACAGCAGGGGACAGCAAGGCAUUUCCGGGACUUGCCGGACGAUGGCAGAUUAGGUAGUUGGUGGGAUAAAAGCUUACCAAGCCGACGAUAUGUAGCUGGUCUGAGAGGAUGAUCAGCCACACUGGGACUGAGACACGGCCCAGACUCCUACGGGAGGCAGCAGUGGGGAAUUUUGGACAAUGGGCGCAAGCCUGAUCCAGCCAUGCCGCGUGCAGGAUGAAGGCCUUCGGGUUGUAAACUGCUUUUGUACGGAAAGAAAAGCCUUAUUUUAAUACAGGAGGGUCAUGACGGUACCGAAAGAAUAAGCACCGGCUAACUACGUG